This is a non-coding RNA of Salmo salar (Atlantic salmon), 93 nucleotides long. NCBI's taxonomy places the organism in Eukaryota, Metazoa, Chordata, Actinopteri, Salmoniformes, Salmonidae. The record is from Rfam.
GCCUAACAGGCUCAGUUGGUAGAGCAUGGUGUUUGCAACGCCAGCAUGGUGUGUGCAACGCCAGGGUUGUGGGUUCGAUUCCCACGGGGGGCC